Molecule: long non-coding RNA, 1409 nt
Filed under: Calidris pygmaea (Spoon-billed sandpiper)
Lineage: Eukaryota; Metazoa; Chordata; Aves; Charadriiformes; Scolopacidae
Description: lncRNA (ENSCPGG00000007839.1)
Source: RNAcentral
AAUAGUGCUGGUAAUUUAAUCCUUACAGAUGAUUAUGCACUACAUUCUCAUGAAUAUGUAUGUUCUCCCGUAGUUCUACCCAUAGAAUUUUACCUAUUUGGAAUUAAUUUUGUAAUUCUAUGUAAUUGGAUCCUUAUAGAAUAUCUUUAUAUAUACUAAGCCACUUCUUUUUCUUAAUUUUAUGAUUAUAAAGGAAUCCUACAAAGGCUGUAAUUUUUCUUUGACUGUUACAUCUGCUAUUAAGCAAUUCCCUUCCUGAUGAUUUGCUGAGAAUGGGAUGGAAAAAAGAGAAGUUUCAGUCAGAUCUUCCAAGACAAGAGAGAACACGCCUAGAGUUGCUGCUAUGACACUCAAACAGCCAUUUCACAAAGCCAAGCAAGGAAAUACGGGAGUUUGUGUUGCGGCUUAAAGGAACCCAGCUGUCUUCAUUCCUGUCCAGCUGAAGAGUGAGUACUAUUAGCCUGAAAAGGAGUGUUAUCUAAAGAGGGACUAACCAGCACUGAAAUCCCGGGGAAGGAUUUGGAUACUACAUGGUUGGGGACUUGAAUAUAACAUAUGUACCUCAGACCUGCAUAGAAUCUCCAGAGGCCCAAAUCUAAAACAUAUAUAUGUUGAAGAGAAGGAAGGUAGGACUGAGCUAACAAUUUGCAUUUGCUCAAGUGGAAGACAGGUUGCUUGAGGAUGUGCUUGGUUCUUGUUGGAGAAAGGCAAAAGGGUUGAGUUUUGGAGCUGGGGGACUUAAGCAGGGUUGGCAAGAAUGAUUUAAACUGGAAAAAGAGGGAACCAGCAAGGAGUGAGAGUGGGCUGGUGAAAGCCUCCAAAAAGCAGCCAUAGGCCCAUUUAAAGUAAUAGAUUGGGAAGAGCCAGGCUGAGUAAGUUAACGGGAUAAGGUGGGUGGAAGACUCAUAGAGUAGAAAGUGAGAAAGAAAGCAACCAAUGAAGAGGAAAAAGAAGGAAGACAGAGAAAUCUGUGAUACAAAACUGCCUGAAAACUUCUGGUGAGGAGUAACAAAGCUCUUGUUCAUCACCCUUUUCACUGAAUGUGUAAAUAGGCUGAAUGACUGCUUGGGUUGCCCUUUUGGUGGUAUUUAACGCUUAUCUUGUGUCACUAAUUAGCUUUGUUCAACAGAGGUAAACAGGAUCAAGGGGCAACAUGGAUAAUGCUGAUGGAAAUGUUUUAUAUAGCAUAAGGGAACAGCUGCUUCAGCCACAGCAAAAAAUUAUCAAGAUGGUGUCACUAUAGGUGAUUUCACCCAUUUUAUGCCGCAAAGUGGUGAAUGUGUCCAAGGUCCUAAUCCAAGUGCUUUGUAAUGCUUUGAAAGCUUUAUCUUUUUUCCAUGCUUCAAAGGCAAGGUAAUGGUACAACAUCCUUUGCGUGAUACACUACCCCAGCGCUCAGGGGCCAGAUG